GGGAGAGGAAUCCAGCAAGAAAUGCAUAGUUUAAGGCAAGUAAAGGAAAGAAACACAACUUUUCUUUCACCACAAGGCUUCUGGUUUGAGGUGUCCGUGUGCCAAAGAUGCCACUGGGUGCAGGGGUGUUGCAAGGCAGUUCUCAGCUGCUGCCCAGGGGCCAUAGAGAUCAGGAGCUCGAUGACUUCUCUGUCUUUUUUUUUUAGUAUUAUUAAAUCUUCUCCAUAUAAACCAAUAUUUACCAGUAAUCCUGUGUUUCUGUUUUUGUGUUUUGGCAGACUUUUACAGUAAAUAUCGGUUAUUCCUGAAACCAGAAAGCCCUAAACAUACCUUUGUUUAUAAGCCUGGGUGGUUCCGAUUGCUGGCAGUUCUGUAAUACGACUUUAAUGUGAGCACUUGAGCCUGGUCCUACCUUACCUUCAGACAUCUUGCAGAGGACUCCUGUUGCCAGUUGGCCCUUGAAAGCUGCACCCCAGCACCAGAAGUCACAUCUUGCAGAGGCAGUGAUAGGUUCCCCUCUCUAGCUCUGAUGGACAAACCACAUUGCAGUGCACCUUUCUAAUGAACUGUUCCUAUGUUCUAAUCCCCUUGUGAGCUCAAACUGGAGCAGAGACCUGUUAAAGCCUGAUGGUGUCCCUUUAACAGCAUAAAGAUGUUCACCUUCUCUGAAACGCCACUAGAAGUUCUUUUCUUUUUAAGGCAGGGGAGAAUUGGGCUGUGAUCAUGUUUGCAACAUAACUUGCCUGAAAAUACCAAAAAGAAAAAAACCACAAAAGCUCUCCAAGUUUUCACGGCAGUGGGUGAUUCUUUCCUGAGUGUAAAAGUUAAUCUUGAUUAGAGAUGUGCCAAUCUAUACUGCUUUAUUGUAGUGUUACACUUAGGCUUUUUCAGUUCACUUCCAAAUAUAUACUGUAACAGUAUACUUUGUACAGACUGAUUUAAAGCUGGUUUGAAAAACUGAAAUAAAGUAGGCAGAAAAAUAAAGAUAUUUAUUUUUCAUUUGACUACGUAAGAAGGUAUCGUUCUUUUGGUUUUAGUGCACUGGUGUACCAAGCCUCAGAACCACUGAUUUCUGCAGCUCAUAGGAUGCUUUCCCAAGACUGUGGAUACGUGUAUGUGUACUGCUGUGGUGAUAAGUAAAUGCCAACAAUGGAGCUCGUUGCUUUUAUACAUCCAAAACAGAAGUUCUCCACUGUUCACUCUCUGUUCUCUGACCAAAAUAAAACAGGCAUGUGUUCGUGAACAGUAUCCACCCAAGUUCUGCCACUCCACUCUCACAUCAGCUUACACCAGUGCCAGGAUGGAAGGAUUUGCCUGCGUACCUUCCCCAGAACAGCCCUGUCCACGCUGGCAUCAUCAGGGAGCGGAUCAGACAUGCGUCCUUUGGGCUUUGUGUAAGGCAGAACAAGAAAACCCAAGAUGCUACAUCCAUUAGAGACAGAUUCCUUACUGUACAGUAGUAUGGAGAUCUCUAGUCAACCUGCCAUUAAGAAUAGAUUCUUAUUUUUUUGAAUGAUCUAUUUAAAAGAACAGCAAGCAUUGUAUUUGCCUAGUAAAUCUGAAGUGUUUACAUGGAAUUCCUAAAUAAAUUAUUUGAUCUAA
Molecule: long non-coding RNA, 1602 nt
Organism: Pogoniulus pusillus (Red-fronted tinkerbird)
Lineage: Eukaryota; Metazoa; Chordata; Aves; Piciformes; Lybiidae
Exons: 3
Source: RefSeq, a predicted model, not a curated record